UGGGGAAUAUUGGACAAUGGGCGAAAGCCUGAUCCAGCCAUGCCGCGUGAGUGAUGAAGGCCUUAGGGUUGUAAAGCUCUUUUAGCAGGGAAGAUAAUGACGGUACCUGCAGAAAAAGCCCCGGCUAACUUCGUGCCAGCAGCCGCGGUAAUACGAAGGGGGCUAGCGUUGCUCGGAAUUACUGGGCGUAAAGCGCACGUAGGCGGACCCUUAAGUCGGUGGUGAAAUCCUGGAGCUCAACUCCAGAACUGCCUUCGAUACUGGGAGCCUUGAGUUCGGGAGAGGUAAGUGGAACUGCGAGUGUAGAGGUGAAAUUCGUAGAUAUUCGCAAGAACACCAGUGGCGAAGGCGGCUCACUGGCCCGAUACUGACGCUGAGGUGCGAAAGCGUGGGGAGCAAAC
This 401-nucleotide ribosomal RNA is filed under the name uncultured bacterium. RNAcentral describes it as "bacterial SSU rRNA". It matches the Rfam family "Bacterial small subunit ribosomal RNA", at positions 355 to 773 of the family's 1533-position model. The record is from RNAcentral.